AAUAGAUACCCGGGUAGUCCACGCCGUAAACGAUGAAUGCUAGGUGUUAGGGGUUUCGAUACCCUUGGUGCCGAAGUUAACACAUUAAGCAUUCCGCCUGGGGAGUACGGCCGCAAGGCUGAAACUCAAAGGAAUUGACGGGGACCCGCACAAGCAGUGGAGUAUGUGGUUUAAUUCGAAGCAACGCGAAGAACCUUACCAGGUCUUGACAUCCCCCUGACCGGUACAGAGAUGUACCUUUCCUUCGGGACAGGGGAGACAGGUGGUGCAUGGUUGUCGUCAGCUCGUGUCGUGAGAUGUUGGGUUAAGUCCCGCAACGAGCGCAACCCUUGACUUUAGUUGCCAGCAGGUAAGGCUGGGCACUCUAGAGUGACUGCCGGUGACAAACCGGAGGAAGGUGGGGAUGACGUCAAAUCAUCAUGCCCCUUAUGACCUGGGCUACACACGUACUACAAUGGCCGGUACAACGGGAAGCGAAGGAGCGAUCUGGAGCGAAUCCUUUAAAGCCGGUCUCAGUUCGGAUUGCAGGCUGCAACUCG
Molecule: ribosomal RNA, 539 nt
Filed under: uncultured bacterium
Lineage: Bacteria
Description: bacterial SSU rRNA
Rfam family: Bacterial small subunit ribosomal RNA
Source: RNAcentral